CCUACGGGGGGCAGCAGUGAGGAAUAUUGGUCAAUGGGCGAGAGUCUGAACCAGCCAAGUCGCGUGAAGGAUGAAGGAUCUAUGGUUUGUAAACUUCUUUUAUAUGGGAAUAAAGUGAGGAACGUGUUCCUUUUUGUAUGUACCAUAUGAAUAAGCAUCGGCUAACUCCGUGCCAGCAGCCGCGGUAAUACGGAGGAUGCGAGCGUUAUCCGGAUUUAUUGGGUUUAAAGGGUGCGUAGGUGGUUAAUUAAGUCAGCGGUGAAAGUUUGUGGCUCAACCAUAAAAUUGCCGUUGAAACUGGCUGACUUGAGUAUAUUUGAGGUAGGCGGAAUGCGUGGUGUAGCGGUGAAAUGCAUAGAUAUCACGCAGAACUCCGAUUGCGAAGGCAGCUUACUAAACUAUAACUGACACUGAAGCACGAAAGCGUGGGGAUCAAACAGGAUUAGAUACCCCAGUAGUC
This 460-nucleotide ribosomal RNA is filed under the name uncultured bacterium. RNAcentral describes it as "partial 16S ribosomal RNA". It matches the Rfam family "Bacterial small subunit ribosomal RNA", at positions 338 to 795 of the family's 1533-position model. The record is from RNAcentral.